GGCAGAGAUGCCUUAGUGCCUUCGGGAACCGUGAGACAGGUGCUGCAUGGCUGUCGUCAGCUCGUGUUGUGAAAUGUUGGGUUAAGUCCCGCAACGAGCGCAACCCUUAUCCUUUGUUGCCAGCGAUUCGGUCGGGAACUCAAAGGAGACUGCCGGUGAUAAACCGGAGGAAGGUGGGGAUGACGUCAAGUCAUCAUGGCCCUUACGAGCAGGGCUACACACGUGCUACAAUGGCGCAUACAAAGAGAAGCGACCUCGCGAGAGCAAGCGGACCUCACAAAGUGCGUCGUAGUCCGGAUCGGAGUCUGCAACUCGACUCCGUGAAGUCGGAAUCGCUAGUAAUCGUGGAUCAGAAUGCCACGGUGAAUACGUUCCCGGGCCUUGUACACACCGCCCGUCACACCAUGGGAGUGGGUUGCAAAAGAAGUAGGUAGCUUAACCUUCGGGAGGGCGC
RNAcentral lists this ribosomal RNA (454 nucleotides) under uncultured bacterium. Its description in RNAcentral is "bacterial SSU rRNA". It matches the Rfam family "Bacterial small subunit ribosomal RNA", at positions 999 to 1453 of the family's 1533-position model. The record is from RNAcentral.